AUUCCUAUCUAAGUAUGAUUGAAGAAAUGUGGGCACAGACAGAAGACAUGACCUGCAAAACAAAGAGGAAAAAAAUCACAUGGAACCCAGAUCAUCAGAGGAGGUGAGAGAGAGUUCCAUGGAAGUUUGCAGAAGGGACAGUGGGACCCCCCAGCUGGCUGGACUUCAUUCUUCUGCCUGAAGGUAGUUUGAAGACAGACCACUUCAUCUCCUCUCUGGCCAUUGGCUUUUUACUUCUAUUGUGAACUGAAGAAAUAGUCUUGCCCAGAAAAGACCCUGGCAGGGUUAUUGCCAUCUUCCCUCUGAGGAAGAUAUUUCAUUUCUUUUUUUUUUAAGAGACUUAUUUCAAAGCCUUCAACUAAUACUACUACUUAAAAAAAUUAGGGAAACCUUUUCCCCUCUUUCCCAACCUCAUCAUUAUUCCCUUCUCCCCCAAAGAAUAAAAGAUCCUAAAGAAAUUAGUUUGAAGGAUUAUUGUUAUUAGAGAGAGGAAUUUGACUAACCAUCUGUGAGGAAAACCUCCAUUAGAUUACUUGGUGAAGGAAGAACAGGAAGUAGGGGAGGGGGGCUCAAGAUUCAGUUUCUUUCAUUUAAGUACUUUCUGGUGUGACAUCUUUUGAUUUCCCCUCUUUAGGACAUAAGGAAAUGUUUGAUUCCUGACUAAAGGAGAGCAAGAAAGGGAGUCAUGAAGGCUAGCCAUACUGUUCUCUGAGUGAAGUACUAGAUUGGAAUUGUAUCUCUUUUCCUCCCUAAAUAUUGAUAUUUUAUGGGGUCUUAAAAAUGUUCACACUUCUCUCCCAUUUACUAUCAUUCUCAUAAAGGAGAAGUAGCUCCAAAAUUAUAUUCACACAUCUGACUUUCCCACCAAAUACCAGUUACACAAAAGACAAACUGGUAAGUAGGAUAUAAACUUAUCUAAGCAAAUAGCAAUCAGAAAAUACAAAGAAUGCAAAAGCUCUCCUAUUGGGAGUAAGGUAUCACAACUAAAUCAAAAAGAGAUAAGCAGGUCUUAUUCUAGAAGAAGCUCCCCACAGGCACUAGGGAGCCAACCUAGCAAUGAGAGACAUAGGGAGGAGCAGGCUUUCCCAACAUGUCUGCUUUCAGCAUUUGGUUUUUAUUUUUCUCCACCGCUGAGGAGAGCCAUAUGCAAAAUGGUCCAGGCUUAUAGCAAGUGUUACAUAAAUAUAAGCUAUAGAUCUUUUACAAGUUAGUUGAGUAUGAGUGAGGACACUAACACUGGGGUGGGGACCUUAUAAGAAGUGAGGUUUAAAAGAGUAUAGGGAAUCUAAGAAGAAGAUAUGGGGAGAGGUUCUACUCCAGCAUCUGCAGAAGCAUGGAGAAGGGAGAUAGGAAUAACAGGGACUACUUUGGUUAGAAUACAGAAUGAUUAAGGAGGAUAAUAUGAAAGAGGUCUUGAGAGGCAAGCUAGACAUAGAUUGUGAAGGGGCUUUAAAUGCCAAAUAGUCAAGUUUGUAUCUUAUCCUAGAAACAACAGGAAGGCACUGGAGCUUUAUGGGUAGGAGCAAAUGCCAAAUUUUAGGAAUAUCAACUUACUAACUAGUGUAUAAUGGUUUGGAGAAGGGAUAGAUUGAAUGAGGGGACAGUAAUUAGGAGGCUAUUGCAGUAGCAGAGGGUCUGAACUAGGUGAGAACUGGACAUAAGACAUAUAGUCCGAGAUCACUGAAGAUGAAGAAUUAAGAGAAAGUAAAGAGUUGAGGAUGGGUCAGAAGUUUUGAUCCUGGGGGUGAUUAGCAUUAUUGUAGUGUCUUUGAUAAAAACAGGGAAACUGAUUGGAAAAAAGAUUGAGGAAAGAGUGGAUUGGGUUCAAUUCAGAGCUUAUACACAACAGCAAAGAUGGUAUACACAUCUUCACUGGGAAGGAGAAGUUGGGCCAGGAAGAGAUCAAACAAAAUCAAGAUCUAAAAAAUUUGUAGAUUUUUUUUCUUUUGUGUUGAGGCCAAUGUGGUUUAAAUCAGAGAGGCAUAAUAGAAACAUUGGCUAAAAUGUUUUUGAAAGGAUUGACUGAGGCUUUUUAAAAUUUAAUGAAUCUUGAGACAAUUUUUGUGAAAUCAUUAUCCCAUUUUCUACUCUACUUAAAAAGAAAAUAUGAACUGGAUACAAUUCAAAGAUAUUUUUUCCAGAGGCUAGACUCAAUUUGAUGAAUUAUGGAUGUCGCAUUCUGUCCUGUCAAUCCUCCUAUCUUUAUACUCAAAAGUUCAGAGAGAUCUGACAUGUUCAGAGGUCUGUUUCUCUGUUCCAUUCAGUUACUCAAAAUUUGAGAAAGAUCCAUUAGAUUCAUGCAGUUGGACCAGAGGAGUGAGAACAAUUACCAGAGAUUCUUCAACUUCUUUUGGAAUACAAUUUGCAAAUGGAUAGCAAAGAAUUGUGUGAGAGAUUAAAUAUAAUUUCCCUAGAAAAGUGAAUAGUAAUGUAACUUUCCCUCAAAGGAUGUGGGUGGUCACACUAGCUCUUAUCAGAAAAGAAUAGUGCCUCUUUAUCUAUUAUUUUAUUCACCAAUGAAUCCUAUGUUGUUGUUGUUGUUGUUUUUCUUUCUAGCUUCAUAGGCUGAUGUAUGUAGGCUGAGGAACAGAAUGCUCUUGAUACUUUUUUUCAGGCCAAAACAAAUGAAUAAAGUUGAAAAGCUUAUAUAUCCCUGCCCUUCUACAAAGAAGAGAGGCUGCUGGCAUUGGAAUCAUGAAAACUUUGGUCCAUUUACUGCUUUUGGCACAUCUUGGUUUGAAGACUCUAAGUUGUUACUUAAUAUAACUUCUGAGCACUCCUAAUAAACUCUCUAAGAUUGGGGUUUUUAACCUGAAUUCCAUGAGGUUUUUUUUUUCCUAACAGUUUGUAGACCAAAUAUCAAUAAAUUGGUUCAUUUAAUAAUCUUGUGUGUUGUAUUUUAUGCUUUUAAAAUCAUUAUUUUGAGAAAAGGUCAAUAGGCUUCACUAUAUUUCCAAAGAGGUAAGUAGCACAAAUGAAUAUGAAUUCUGCUUUAAGAGUAUAAGUAAGUUGAAUACCAAGUACAGAUCUACAUUGUUAGAAGGAAUUUCCUCUUCAGGUACUCCCUCAACCAAUAGAAACUCAUGCCUGAUUUAAAAAUGUGAAAAUGAGAAAUUAAAUGAUAAUUUUAUUAGAAAAAUCAAAACAAUCUUCUGGGGAAAUAAAUAUGGUUCAAUUAGAAACUUAAAUUAAUGAGACCUUAAAAUUUCAAGGAUUAUUUUCUAUACAUAUUAGUUAAUCAAAAUAUAUACAUAUGAAUACAGUGAUUUUCCUAGAAACAGUGACUUUGAAGAAUAUAUUUGGGAUAUAUGCCUUUAAGAUCUCCUAAUUAAGAGAAAAAAAAUUUUAGGUGGGGCUCUUCAUGCUAGAGCUAUCCCCCUGUCAUAAAUACACCAAAGAAAAAGAUCCAAGUCCAUCAUUACCCUGAAUCAUGUGGUAAAUUCAUCAGAAGUUAUAGAAGGAAAUUAAUUCUGUUUCUAUCUUCAAAUAACCCCUACAAUUUAAGCCUCUCUUUUUUUCUCCUUAAUGGGCUGAUCCUCUACAUAUUUUAAAGCUGCAUGUUGAAUUAAGUUGAUUUAAUUGAAUUUAAUUUAGUUGAAGUUAUUGCUAUUGUCUGCCAUCUUCCUCAGAAGGAAGAUCCUUGAGAAUUGUUUCACAUUGUCUUUGUAUCUCUAACCAAAUUCUUUGUAUAUAUUUAUUUAACAAAAUUCUUGGUUUUUAACCAAUUAGUAAUUUUUAAUCUUGGAAAGUUUAGAGGUUCUUUGGAGUAACUUCUAGGAGAAAAUUAGGAAGAUAACAAUUGGACUUUGGGAAAUGUUUUCCUUAAAUGUUUAAUAAUAAGAAUGAGUUUGAUCAUAAUGACAUUGAAGGUAUUAUUUAAAAACUAGAGGGAAUGAGGAACUUAAUGCAUACCACUGAAGUAGCCAUUGAACUUAGACUUACUAAUAAUAUGGUAGUUAUUUUCUUUCUUGAAAAGUAGUUGCAGUGGCACUAUUUUCUGAAUGGUGUGGGCUACAAACAAUCAAAAAAAAAAACGGUUACUGCAUCAUAACAAAUGAGUCCAUUAUAGAAAAAGGGGAGUAGAAUGGGAUGUCUUGAGAUGUGGUGGAUCUCAGCUCCUUUAUGGUCAGCAAAGGUUGCUUAAUCAUGACUUGAGUUUGUUGUAGCAGGGCUUUAUUUUGGGGAUGAAUUGUAUUGGAUGGCUUUUGAGAUAUCUUCCAUCUUUUAAAUUCUACCAUCCUACAAUUUUGUGAUAUAGCUUUUUUUCCAGUUGGUGCAUCAUAAAAUUUUCUAAUCUCAUCAUUUCUUCGUCUUUCAAGACUUAAAUAUGAACUGGAUCUUCAAAAUAAGAGGAGGGAGGAAAAAAUCAGAAGACUAGGAAGGAAAAGAAGAAUAAAUUGUCUUUCAAUUAUUUCAGAAUAAGGAAGGCCUUUUCUAAUCACAAUAUAUAAUUCAGCAUUUUGAUUGUAAAUAAUUUAUAUUCAGGAAAGGGAAUAAAUACCCCAUAUGGAGGAGUUAGAAAACAACAGAGGAGCCCCUCACUAAGGAGAGACACAAACAAUGGUGCUGCUGAGAUUGCAGUGAAACUAGUGACUGAUUUUAGAAGGUGACUACAAAUAAACUGAAGGUGAAGAAAGUUGUCUGAACAAGGUUAAAGAAUAUUGUAGCAGCAGACAGACUUUUUAAAAUUGUUUCCUCAUUUAAUCAAAUUCUUUUGAGAUAAGGAACCAUCUUGUUUAUAAAUGACAAAAGAAUGACAAAUCUGAUCCUGGAUGCUUUUUUAGAGAUAUAUGUAUGUCGGGGUAGGGGAGGCAAGAGGGAAGAAUAAUGCUUUUACAGAGGUCCUAAUAGACAGUUACACUAGUAACUUAGCUGUACAAAAAAUAGUUGGUUCGUAUGAGAUGGUUAAAAGGCCAAAGAUAAAAGGUAUUUCUUUUUUUUCCUAUUUUUUCCUUUGUCUAUGAAGUUGCUCUUUGGGGGUUUUAGUUUUUUGUUUGUUUGUUUGUUUUUGUUUUGUUUAAACAUUUUUUUUGGCCUGUUUUAUGUAUGUGUGAAACCUGUUGUCCAACAAUAAACCAGAAUUUUAUUUUGCUGAGUUGUUCUAAAAAAAAAAAAGUAGUAGUAGUGGUAGGGUAGAGAUAGGGACUUUGCCUAUAAUAUCAUUGAAUCAGGGAACUCCCAGGUGAGGAAACUCCCUCUUUCAAUGCAAGUUAACAACUUCUCUACAAUUACAGGCUCAGAGACUUGUCUAGAGACUGGUAAGUGAUUUGCUCAGGGUCAACCAUCUAUGAUGUGUCAGACUUAGAACAUGAAUUAGGUCUUCCUUGCUCCAAAACCAGCUCUCUCUGUCUCCACUAAGUCUCUCUACCUUUCCAACACCACCACCAACACAAAUUGAUACUGAUACAAUCCUUGAGGUUGUCCAAAUACUUUACAUACUGUUGUGUUCUUUAAAGCCUUCAAAGUAAAAAAAAAAGGCAGAAGGUAUUGAGUUUUGUUAGCUUGUUUAUCACUCAAUGUAGACAAGGAAGAGAUCUCUGCAAAGAUACAAGUUACUCUAAGUUUGGUGAGGCUUCCUUAGGAGUCCAGGUUUAAUUAUCCUUUCUCUAGAUACAUCUUUUAUGUAUUUGAUCUCCUGUUACUAGUAUCUUCUUCCCAGAAAUCACUUUUAAUCUACAUUGAAUUAAAACAAGUGUCCAGGAUUGAUGGUUUCAUUGGUAUAGGGAAGUCCUGUUUAGGAAAUGCCCUCUUUAAUCCAGAUUUAUAAUUCCUCUGCAAUUUAUAAUCAGAAUUAAUUGGCAAGAGCAUUGUUAAUUGGUAAAGGCACAAGUUAAGUGACCCGACCAACAUCACCUGGCCAGUAUGUAUUAGAGGUAGGACUUGAUUAUGUCUUCCUCUUUCCAAAGUGAGCUCUGUACUUACUCUGCUCGACUGCCUUUUUGUAUACAGGGUAGCCCUAAAGUCUUAGCCUCAUGAGAUGCCUUGAAAUUUGUAUUUAAAAUUUCUGGGUACAUGCAGUUACUCUUUCUUCUCCACUCCUAAUAGAAUGUAACCUCCUUAAGGAUAGGAACUAUUUCAUUAGAAAAAUUAUAGCCCCAGAUUCUAACAGAACCUAGCAUAUAAAACGUGCUUAAUAAGUGCUUUUUGAAUGAACACAUAAUCAAAUUCUGGCUGGGUAAAGGGAGAGGAAUUUUCCAGGUUUGGUAAAUUGGAUAAUCUAGGUACUAUUUUAUAGAAAAUUUGGAUUUAAUGUUAUUUUCUUUUCUCCACUGUACACCAAUGCCAUGCCUUUGAUUAUGCUUUUUUUAGUCAAUGUUAUUAUUAUAUGAUUAUAUUUUGCCAUGCAAAUGAAUGGUAUUAUUAUGAUUAGUAAUUAUUAUUAAUAAUACCUUUUAUUCAAACAGAACUCUAUGGACUCCAAAGAGCUUUUAUAUCCUUUUUUAUUUUGUUCUUGACUUAGCAGCAGGUACAUGAACAAAUGUUUAACCUAAAGUCCCUUGAUAACACUCCUUCUGUAACCUAAAGGCAAGCAAUCUGCCAUAGAAAUCCCAUGUGAUACUUUGCAUUUCAUCUUCAUCUAGUCACCAUUUUGAUGCUUUGAUAUAUUCCCAUCUCUUCCACUUCUUUGAAUUUUCUGCUCUCUCCUCUGUGUGCCACCUUUCUCUAGCAAAGUUUAGGAUGAUCAAUCCCUGUCUGCAAAGUGGAUUGAAAUUCCUCAAUAAGAACUAACAUUCUAGGAGAGAAUUAGUACUUUUUCUUUACAAGCAGAAGGUUUCAGAAUUUUUCAUCUGCAUUUUCCCCAAUGUGAUUUACUAUAUUAGCAUCUACUGCCACUUAAUGGGCAAGACAGAAAAUCUUGUUAAUAUUUAUGCUGUUUGUAAAAGGUAAUAGCAUAAUUCCCCUGGUAGUUUACUUCAUUAAAUGUAUACUGAUCUGAAAUUGUGAGGCCUGCUGGGUGAGUGCUGGCUGCAGACAUGAAUUGCUUGCCUAGCAGGUUACUUUAGUGUUCUUUUCUAAGAAAACUCCAUCUCCAUCAAUAUUCUUUCCAAGGUGUGUUGAAUAAUUUAAAAAGUGGCAGUUGCAACAAUAUGUAAAGGAAGCUGACAGCUGGCAGUGCUAGGCUUACUUCUCUGUCCUUUUCAUUGAAAGCUCCGAGCAUUUUGCACCAUGGGGGAAAGUAGAGUUUCAGACUUUGUUUGGGUUAAGUCCCAGCAUAGGGCCUGAUUAGAAUAACAGUACCUCAGCUCAAGGCUUUGGCUGGUGAAACUUGGCAGCAACCAGGAAAACCAGUCCUUUGACCACAUUUUCAACACAUAUUCUUGCUCAUUUUGAGAAAGAAAUUCAUUUUUCCCCUGACUUUGCUAUUUUUAAUGACUGAUUCUCCAUCCAUCCAAUAUUAUGAUGUUCAAAUUGAGAUAGAUAUUUGCCUUUUAUCUACUUCAUCCACUGGUUCCUGUAGACUUUUCUUGGCUUAAUUUCUUGAAUUUUUAUUCAUUUUUGCUUUUAUUCAUCCUCUAAGACUCAAUUGUGGUUUAAACGAAGUUUAUAAUAGUCCAGAUAACUAACCCUCUCCAUUCCUGCUAUGUGGCCCAAUAGUUUUGACCCAUCUCCGUGGGUCAUAAAUAUUUUUAUUUUUUUCCUACUUUCUAAAGAAGGAAUAAAAGAAGGAAGGAAACAAGGGAGAAAGAAAGGAAGAGGGAAGGAAGGAAAAAGAAGAGAGAAAAAGAAAGAAGAAAAGAAUGAAAGGAGAGAAGAAGUAAAGAAAGAAGGGAAGAAAAGAAAAGAAAGAACAUAGAAAUAAGAAAGGAAAAUAAGGAAAAAAGAAGGAAAAGAGAGAACCAAGCAAGAAGGAGGGAGGAAGAGAGAUAACAAAGAGAGAGAGAAUGUUAUGGAGAUAUAUUAUAUUAUAGCUACUUUUGAUAAGUUGAAUGUGAAUGAAAGGUUUUCAAAUUACCAUGUAGUUAGAUUUCAGUCAAUGCAGAACACAGGAAGUGACUUUUGGAAAGUCACACAACAACCUCCUUUCUGCUCUUACAAGGAUGAACCUGGUAGAAUUAGUAAUUAAGUUCCUACUGGUUUUUCAAUUAGUAAAAUUAACUAAAUUAGGUUUGUGUGAAGUUUAUGGAAUGGAGGCAGUCUAGUAUAGCCAGAGACUUAAUUGGUAAUUUUUGUAUCUGAAGCAAAUGAUUAACUAUUGCUCCUCUAUCCUAUAGCUGCCAUGGCAGGCAACAGAAGGAGCAUACACCAUGAGGUUUCCAUGUUGCUGACAAAUUAAGAAUCACUCUAGACAAGACAACCACUACGUCUGCUUCCAAUAGGCAGGAGAGGGCAGAUUCUCUUGAGUUGUGUUUGGAUUGUGUUAUUGGCAAUCUUUAAUUUUUUUUCUAUAGAGCAAAAUCCUAAGCUAGUUACAACUUGGAGGACAGCUACAGGGAGCCUAAAAGGAGAAGGACCAUUUACAUAGAGAAGAUUUUGGGCUAGAAGAGUACAGUCCUGUGCAUAAUCAAUUCAGCAGGAAGAACAUCUCCAUGCUUUGUCAGUCUCCAUUAAUUUCAUACAGAUCUCAUAAUUCUAUCUGCAACUUCACAACACAUGCAUGAAGACCUGGAAAAAGAGAUGAGUCUCAAAAGAAAGAAGAAACAAAAUAUUGGUGAGGGGGUACAAUGAGCUAGCAAGUGACAGUGAAAGGCAGGCUUCCAGAGAGGGCUAUAGCACUUUAACCUAGGAAGUAAUAGUAUAAGUUUGUUUAUUCAUCUGUAAGUAUAGAUUGGUUGUCUUAUUCUUUUGUCAUCCCCUGUGUUAUGCCCUAUUUUUGGAGGUCUCAGCUGUGAUGCUAGUUUCGGGGAGAGGAUGCUGUCCUAAUGUUCUUACCUUCUUCUUUGUGCCUCUUGGGUAUCUCUAGUUAAAUUCUGUAAUUUUUCCUUAAACAUAAGUGGAAUGUUGCUUUAAGCAUUGACUGAAUCAUAUGAUUCCUCUCUGAAAUCCCUUUAAAUUCCAGAAACAGGUUCCAAUAUCUCCUAGUACAAGUUAGAAGUCAAUGGAGCAAAUGAAUAAACAUCAAAUGCUAUCUUCCCUUCAUGCACUCAUAAGUGGGGAGAGUACCUCAAUGAAAGAGCAGAUAUAGAAGGGAAAUCACUGCAGAAGACAGCUAUACCAAAGAAAAGUAGAAAUUGGAACUUUUUAAAGGCAAAAAUUUAAAUGUAAAGUCAAAACAACUGCUAAAGAAAAAUCAAGCAAAUCAAAGUGAGAAACAUAAGCAGCAAAUUGGCCCUGAUGGAAUCAAUUAUUCACUCUCAACAAUAGAGUUUAGUUAAAAUGUAGUGAUAAAGAUGGGGCUGAUCUUCAGCUUAAUGGCCAAAAGAAGCAUACAACAUUGGGCUACAAAGAGCAAUUGUUUACCAAAGGAAAGCAAAUGCAACAAAUUAUAAAGGCAAGAAGGAAAUACAACCAUAGUUCUAAACCUAAACAGUCCAGCUCUCUCUGUUGGCCAAAAAUGCAAAAUAGGGCCCUAGAGCAAGUAAGUAGGUAUGUUCUUGAUAUCAAACUUCAAAAUAGUCUUGAACAACUUGAGCAAAAGAAAAUAAAUUGAAUUCAACAUGAGAUAAUAAAGAUAAUUGAGGGAAUAUCCACCACUUGGGGAAUAGCUGAACAAGUUGGUAUAUGAUGGUUUUGGAAUUCUACUGUAUUAUAAGUAAUGGCAAGCAGAAUAAUUUCAGAAAAACCUGGAAAGAUACAUGAACUGAUGCAAAGUGAAGGGAACAGAACCAGAAGAACAUUGUAUGCAAUAACAGCAAUAUAAAUGCUUUACAUAUAUAAUUUUGUUAGCUACCUAUUAAGGGUGCUUUGCACAUAGGAGGUAUUUAAUAAAUGUCUAUUGGAUUGUAUUUAAUAAGAGAUUAUAAACACAUGCGGUUUUGGUAUGGCAUGAUUAAGGACUUGUAGAGCACAUAAUCAGUAGCAUCUACACCUUUACCUGACCUUAGAAGCAAAACCUGACUUAUUAAAUGAGGCAGAUAGAUGGAUAGAGAAUUUAUCUAGUACUUAAAAUGUGUUAGUCACUAUGCUAACCACUGUACAAUCAAACAAGACAGUAAAGACUCAAGGGACUUUCAUUCUAAGGAGGGUAGACAACCAUAAAGUGGAUCUGGAAAGCAGGUCAAGAUAAGAUUACCAUAAAGAGGUAAAUUAUUUGUUGUAGACAUGGAGAGGAAUCCACCAAGACCUAGGUUAGGGACUUACUAUCAAUCAGGAAAAAUGUGCUAUAGAAUGUGGCACUUAGAUUGAGAAGGAAGCUUUUAAGAAGGUAGAGUAGAUAUCUACAGAAAUAUUUGAGUUGAGAGUAAAGUAAACAUGACUAUAGACCCUAAUGAAAUGUUAUUGUUAGACUACUGCUCUGAGUCUACCACACUCCAUAGUAGAUAAAAUGGAGAGAAUAGAAAAUAACUGGGAUAACUCAUACAACAUUCAUGAAACAUAAAAAUACUUUUCUAAGGCUCCUUAAUGUUACAGACUUAGAAUUUUUUCUUUUUCCUGAAACCUCUUAUUUUCAGUAAAAGGCAUUUAAAAAUUGUGUUGAAUGUAAUUAUUUUGUGCAAUAUUGUCUUGAGCAGACUUUUAAAUUUUAGUUUGAGAUCUUAAACAGUAUAUAAAACUGUUGAGUGAAUAUUCUCCAUAUGGCUUCUAUGUCUUAGUUUUUGGAGGCUGGGCAACUAGUUAUCCAGUCAAUAAAAAUCUAUUAAUUUGGUUCCCUUCAGAAUUGAACAAAAAUGGCAGCAAACGAGCAAUUUUGUGACUUUUAACAUAUAGCUUUUCUUUUUUUGUGGAAAAAAUGAAAUAUAAUACGCAUAUAAGGUGCUCUCCUCCUGAAAUAUAGCAGUCUAAAAAAUUAACAAAAAUAGUUGAUGAAACAACUCUAAAAUUUUAAGUGACUUUUUAAUUCCAGAAUUUAUUAGUGUCCCCUUUAAAAAAAAUCACCUUCUAUGUACUAGCCACUGUGCUAAAUGCUGGAAAUGCAAAGAAUUGCAAAAUAUAGUCAGUUUCUAAUCUUAAGGAGUUCAUAAUUUAAUGAGGGAGAUAACAUGUAAAUGUUAUUUAAGUGGUGCAGUAGAUAGAAUGCUGGUCAGGAAGAUCAUCUUCCUGAGCUCAAAUUGGUUUCAAAUACUAUCCAUGUGACCUUGAGCAAGUCACUUGACUUGUUUUCCCUCAGUUUCCUAGUCUAUAAAACAAUAUGGGGUAAACAAUUCCAGUAUAUUUGCCAAGAAAACCUCAAUGGGGUCAGGAGAAGUCAGAGAUGACUGAAAAAAUGCCUGAACAAUAACAACAAGUGAAUAACUAUGCACCAAUAAGCUGUAUACAGGAUUAAUUGGAAAUAAUCAAUAGUGGGGAGGCAUCAGAAUUAAAGGAGAUCAGGAAAGGAUUCCUGUAUGUGAGAUUUUAGUUCCUACUUGAAAGCAACCAGGGAAAACAGGAUGUGGGGAUAAAGAGAACAAGCAUUUCAAGCUUAGGAAAUAGUCAGGGGAAAUGUCUUGAGUGAGGAGUCUUUUGUGCCAUGAAAAGCAAGAAGCCAGUGCCAUGGGUUCAUAGAUACAUGGUGGGGUACAAGGGAUAAGAAGAUUGGAAAGGUGGGAGGGAGCAGGUUCUGAAGCAUUUUAAAUGAGAGAUGAUUAAUCUUGGAGGUGAUAGGGAGUCAAUGGAGUUUACUAAAUGGGAGGGUGCCCUUUUGGAAGAUCACUUUGACAGCUGGAAUAGGGAAGGACUUGUGGCAGGGAGACUAACUAGCAGGCUAGGACACUAGUCCAGGAAUGAGGUGAUGUGGGUAUGUACCAGGACAGAAGAAAUCAGUGGCAAAGGUUCAUACCAAAGAAUGAGAGAACUUGUUCAUAUGGAAAGGAACUUCAUGGAUAAUUCGUCUUUCUCAUGUUACAAAUGAAGAAUCUCAGCACCAGAGGGUGAAAUGUCCUGCCUGCUAGUGUCAGUGUUGAAGUGAGACUAGAAUUCAAUAUGCUUUCUCUUGCUUAGUGAUCAUUCAUAUAAAGAUGCCCUUCCUACCUGAACUUACUCCUCAAUGAGUAACUUCCUCUCCUAGAAACAGUGGGGCAUCAUACAGAGUUUCUAUGUGGGCUAGAUUUAAGUCUACAUAGCCCUACAUAGAAAGCUGACUGCUUGGAAUGAAACUGAAGAUUUAUAACACAGUUUCUCUAAUGAUUUCACCUUAGGAAGUGCACUCCUGCUGAAACACACAGUAGGCUAAGAAACUGUUUAACAAAAAAGAAAUGAACUGUUGAUAACAUUUUGGCGUAAUUCUUUAUAUUGUUAGGAUUUUAAACUUUUUAAGUGAUUAGUAAUGAAUUGAGGAUAACAAAUAGAAACCAGGGCUCAUUGUUUGAACCUAUUGUUUGUAUUGAAUUUCCUACAUUUAUGACUUUGGUAUAUUCCCUAUAUAAAUUAUGAUGUUCCUUACAAUAUAUGCUUCUUACAAUAUAUUUUAUUUUUGAGUCACAUUUUCAUGUAAAAUCACUAAUGUUGUUGGUAAUAAAUAUCCCAAUAAAAAAGAGGAAUUUAUGCAUCAUCUCUCAUAGGUCCUUCGGUGAAUGAGUGAUUGAGGAUGAAAAUGCAGGGGAGAAAUAAGGGCGAUGGUAGAAACAAAAUUUAGGACCAACAAGGAAAUGGGCUUAAAGAGAAUAACCGCCUUGUCAGAAAGUCUAAAAGUAUUACCUGGAGCAAUGAAGCUAACAUCCAAAAUAAUGAAAAGAAAAGUAGAUAGACUAAGUAGGAUGAUCUCAAAGUAUGAGACCUUCUCUUUCUCCUACUCUGUCUUUUUUUAACUUUAAUGAAAUAGAGCUCUUUUGCUUUCUGAUUCACAUUUGUUUUAACUCAGAGAAGAACAUUUAGUACAACCCCUUCAUUUUGUGGACAAAGGAAAACUGGAUCCCAGUGACAUUGUGCCUUGCCCAAGGAAUGGAAUAGAGAAGGAAAGUAUUUAUUUAUUGAUUGCUAUGUACUAAGCACUGGGGAUACAAAUAGAAAACUGCAACAUUCUAAACUUCCAUAGAGUUCCCAUUCUAACUGGGGGAGAGAACUCACGAAGAAGUGUUUACAUUUGAUUUAUGGCAUCUGGCAAGGCCAGGUAGCAGGUAGGAAAAAUUAACAGGGCAAAUGGUCAGACCCAAAGGAUUUAGGGUAGUAAUAGCAGGGCAGAUGGACCCCUAUCAAGAGAAUAGUGGGUUCAAGAAUUAUAUUGUAGUAAGACUUAGAGCUGUGGAAAGGAUGUGGAGAGCAACACCAAGCUGGCAGUGGGUGGAUAGUGACAAGUAAUGAGGAGCAUUUUGGGAAGGGAUAACCCUGUGACUACCUUUGGUGGUAGUAGGUGUUGUUGUUCUGUCUUCCUACAUUCAUUUGCAGGUUGGGAUGGGAUAUGGGAAAAUCUCUGACUUUCCUCCUUCCUGCCAUAAUCACAAAGGAACUAUAUUCCAGAGGUGGGAUUUGAACCCUUGUCCUUUGACAUCAGUGCUUUUUUCACUAUACCAACUCUCAUUGCUGACCAGUAUCUAGUAGUUUUUGAGGUUACAAAGUAAUAUAAUGAUAAAAGAAGAGGUCAUUAUAAAUCUGGAAUAGACCGUAGAGAUAAUUUAAGCCAGUCCAUUCAUUUUACUGUUGGGGAACCUGAUUCUCUCAGUUCAGUAUUUUUAUGAAAUUUGGAAAUAAAAGAGACUUUAGAGAACAUUUAACCCAGUUCUCAAAAUGUGGUCUCCUGGGAGUUCCUGAGACCCUGAGGUCCACGAUGUCAAAAACUAUUUUUAUACAAUGAUAUACAAUGUUUUAUACAAUAAUACAAACACAUUUUAAUUUUUAAUAUAGUAAAUAUCAACAGAUAUGCCCUACCUAAACAUCCUUUGGGACAUCCUCAGUAAUUUUUAAGGGUAUAAAUCGAUCUUGAGACCAAAACAUUUUGAGAACUGUCGAUCUAAUUCAAUACCUACCUUUCAUAUGUGAGAAACCAAGACUGGGACUUGACCAAGGUCCUACAUGCAUGAAACAAGAGCUGGGAUUUAAGCCUAGAUAAUUUGACUCUAAAUAUGAGAUACAUUCUACUAUGUGAUGCUGAUUUUAGCUCUAUAAUCCAAGUAACAGUAGAUAUCUACUAUGUGUGGUGGGAUGCUUUGUAGUUUAAUGGAGGGGGAAUUCUCUUCAGAGGCAGAAAGCCUGGGAUUUAUUUAAGCCCUACACCUGCCCCAGAUACAUGGUGGCUGGAUGACAUUGAACAAGUUAUGUACCAACCCAGUGUCCCAAGCAAUGGUUUAAUGCUUUAAAUGUUAAGAGUACUGGAUGAUUUGGCCUUGGUAGAGAGAGCUUCAUCAUUGAAAGUUCUCCAUACCAAUGAAUUCAUGGCUCUAGGGGCGGGGAAAUAAGGCAUUGGGCUGGAAGUUGGGGAAAUGAAGACAAACUCAAAUAAUCAAAGGAUCUUAGUUUUCUAAGCUGGAAUGGGCUUUAGAGGUCAUCAACUUGAACCCUUUCAUUUUACAUCCGAGGACUCUGAGGCCCAGAGCUCUGACCUUCAGUGGCUUGCCAGAAGUUGUCUAGUUGUGGGCUGGUGUAUGUGGUCCGUAUCUACCUAGGAAUGCUUCCAAUCCUUGGAUUUGGGGGAGAAACACCCAAUAGCCUUCUAAUUGCCCCAGGCGAGGCUUUUCCUUUGUGCUAGUUGGUGGAAUUUGAGCAUCAGUAGCUGCAUGUGAACUUCCCAUCCAGAGGAGAAGUGGGACCCAGGUCUGAGGGGUUAUACACCCAAUCUUUUUUUGCUAAUUAGCCGGAAUACCUUGGUUUGGGCCAGAAAGUGCUCUCUUUCUAUUAGCAAGGACAACAGAACCUGCGCCAUUGGGGGAAAAUGGCCCUCGAAUCCCAGCCUUCCUUGACUUAAGACUUUAUUUAUAUGUUUGUCUUAACAAUUCAGUUCCUCACAUGAAACGCAUGCACACACAUAAGUGCAUAUAUUUCUUAAUAGGAGAGAACCCAGGGAAAUUCUGACUCCAGUUCAUGAAUAAUGCAGACAUUUUGCUGUUUAUGUCAUUUCCAUCUGUUGUGUGCAUGGUAUUUAUGGUAUUCACAAGAUAAACUGAUAGGAGUGUGUGAUCUACUAAUAUGUAUAUUUUUUGAGCUCCAGGGACUGUUUUCAAUGAAAAAAAAGAUGCCAUGUACUCUGACACCCAGGAUAGAAAAGUUCGGAAACAAAAAUAGCUUUACACACACACAUUUGAACGUUCCGACUUAUUGAUUUAUGUUGAAAGGGCUGGUGCUUGCUCCUAUGGCUCAUCCCUUUCCAAGAUCUCCCAGUACCCUGCCAGCCCUGCCUGGCUUCUGGCUACGAGGGAAAUGGCAAGCAGGGCCCGACUCUUUUUCUUUUACGGUGUCCCACUCUCCUGUUUUUCCAUGUCUUGGGGAGGGAAGUAAGUACUGUGGAAAAUGUGUGGAUUCUACAUUUAGUUUCGUUUGCCUUGGAUUUUCUGCUCAAUGACACCGAAGAGGGAGAAGGGCUUCUCUGGGAACCAGAGGCAGAGGACAACACUCCUCAAAGGAGCUUCUGUUCAUUAGAGUUCAGCAAAGCAUCUGAGGCAGUGAGGCGUUAAAGAGAGAACAUUGACUAGGAAUGUGGGAGACCUCCAUUCUAGGCUUGGCUUUAUCAGCACUGUGAUUUGCAGUAGCAGCUUCAUGCUCCAGGGUUUCAAUUCCCUUAUCUGCAAAAUGGAAGACUGGGAGGAGGGGAACUUGAUUGGCUUCCAUUAGUCUUAAAAUUUCAGAAUCACAUAUCCAUGCUUUAUUUCUAAACACACACACAUAUAUGUUCAGAAAUAAAAUGUGGAUAUCCAGUCUUGGAAUUUUUGAAGCUAAUAGAUAAAUGCUUAGACAUAUACACACAACCAUAUAUCUAUUUAUGUACAUUACACAUUACAUAUUUAUAUACAUGACAGUAGGCUAUGAUUUGGUAAUAGUAUCAAGACUAGAAGCCUUAGUUAAAUAAGUAGGUGGAUGGGGAGUAUUUGGGGAAGUGGACUUAAAGUUAGGAAGUCAGAAAUUCAAAGUCCAUGUUAGACACUUUUGAUGACCUUUACAAAUCACUUUAACCACUCCCUGACUCAGUUUCCCCAUCUAAAAUGUUAUGUUUCAACUUGAUGGUCUCUGAUGUUCUUCCCAUAUUGAUGAUCCUGUAAGUAUCCAAACUGCAUAAUUAAAAAAAGAAAGAGUUUUUAUUUUUUAAAGGACUAUUCUUGAAGGCAUGAAGGAUAAAGGAUAAAAAUACAGGUUUCUAGCCUCCUUUUGAUUUCUCCUCUUUGGAAAAGAUCAUUAGAAAAGGGGCAGGAGUUUGGAAAUUGUGAAUUGUUACUUUUCAAAGCCUGUUCUUGGUGGGAAGAUUGCCUUUUGAUAAAUAUAGAAUUUAGAAAUCUAAUAUAAGGAUUCAUUUGGGGCAAGUGUGGAGCACAGAUAGGCAAUUAUACUGCAUCUGCAUUUCAAGUGGGGCAGCGACGUGGCACAGAGCACAGUGUAUCAGGUGCGGAGUCAGGAAAGAGCAUCUCCCUGAAUUCAAAUCUGGUCUCAGACACUUGCCAGCUGUGUGACCCUGGUAAGUUACUUAACCCUGUUUGCCUCAGUUUCUCAUUUGUAGAAUUAGCUGCAGAUUAAAUAUCAAACCAUUCCAGUAUCUCUACAAAGAAAGCCUUUAGUGAGGUCAUAGCAAGUUAGAUGCAACUGAAAACAAAUGAACAUGUUUCAGGUCCCACACUAAAGGCUUUUUACAAAUAUUAUCUCAUUUGAUCUUCACAGUAACCCUGAGAGUUAGGUGCUUUUAAUAUCUCCAUUUAAAUGUUGAGAAAGCGGAAACAAACUCAGCUACAGUGACUUGUUCAGGGUCACACAACUAGUAUAUAAAUAUCUGAGGAUGGAUUGGGACUUUGGUUUUCCUGACUCCAGCUGCCUCUGUGAGGAUUGUGAGGUGUCUAUUUGAGGACUUUUGUUCACUUACUCAAUUCAUUCUUUCAGCAAAUAUCUAUUAAGCACUUAUUGUAUACAGUGAGCACAUUGUGCUAGCUACCUACAAAAUUUAUAAAAGGCUUAAUCCAUGACCUCAUAGUUCUUCUAGUCUAUUUGGAAUAUUACAGUAUUACAUCAUAAUUAACAAUUAGUGAGACGAAAAGCAAAAUGCUACAUGGCAUCCUAAAAGGAUAAUGGGUUGAUAUUUGGGGAAAGGGAAUUAUCUGCUUUUCCUGAAGCAUAUUGUGGUUUCUCAGUAAAACAUGAAGUCUCUUCCUUAACUGAAAGUUCUUUUUUAUGGGGAAAGUCAUGUAAGAGGCAUAAAAAAUAGAACUUUUAGAACAACAAUAUGAGGAGGGAGCUAGUGAGGAUGAAGGAAAGGCUUAGAAGGCUAUUAAAAGUAUUAUCCUCAUUUUACAGAUAAGGAAACUGAGGUUUAGACAGGUUAAAUAACUUGCUCACAGACAUACAUAGAAAUGAUGUAUUCAUGAUUUGCACUUAAGUCUCAACUCCAGGUUCAGUAAUCCUUUCAUUAUACUGUGCUAUCUCUAGGUACUAGGGAGCCAUUAAAGACUCAUGAACCAAGAAGUAAAAUGAUCAGUUCUAGAAAUGAGAAAUAAUAAUUUUGUACACAGUUUAAGGGAUGAAUUAGAAAGGGAAGAGAGUGGGGAAAGGGAGUCUAUUAAGAGGUAACUGAAGUAAUUUAGGCAGGUGGUAAUGAGGUCUGGGACCAGAACAGUCGUAGUAGGCACAGAAAAAAAGGGGCUAGAUUCUAAAAAUCUCAUGGACAGGAUGUUGUUCAGUUGUGAAAGGUUAUGGAGAGGGAAGGGUCAAAGAUGGCCCCAAAAUUAUGAAUGUGAAAAACUGGAAGAAUAGUGGUACCAUAGAUAGGAAUCAUAGAAUGAGGAGUUUAGAGGGAAGGUUAUCCUUCCUAAGGAUAUUAAGUUCAUUACUUUAUUUUCUACAUUUAUUUGUUUGUUUGUUAUAUUAUAGUUCCCAGGAAUUUCCCUCCCUCCACUCCUCACCCUAGAAACGGCAUCAUUUGACCAAAACAUAUCGAUAUAAAAUCCUGUCUUGCUUAUUCUAUUCAUCAGUUCUUUCUCUGGAGGUGGAAUGUUAUUCUUCAAACAAUAUUUCUGUUGCCAUACUUAAUGUUCUCUUGGUUCUGAUUGUUUCACUCUUCACAACUUCAUGUAGCAUUAUUAAGCUUGGUUUGGGAUAUAUUGAAUUCAAUACCAAAUCAUAUAUCAAAUCAGAGAUAAGCCCAGAAUAGUUUAGAUUGCUGAACUCUAAGGCAGAAGGUAGAGAUCAAAUGCCAGUGUCAAAGCUUCUUAGUUAUGUGACUAUUGUCAAGAAAUUUCACAUUUAAAGCCUCAGAUAAUGCAUGCAUAAAAUUGGAAUUUUAAUACUUAUAUCUAUUAUACAUUUAUUUCAGGGCGGAUGUAAAAGGACAGUCUAUGUAACUUGAAAUAAACAGGGUGUCAUUAUUCAUGUUACUAAAUGACUUAAACCUAAAAAGAGGAAUGUCUUCAUAAUAAUUACAGUGGAAAAUCACAUGGCGUGGAAGAAAAAGAAGCCUGCGGUACCAAAAUGUCUUUAGGACGUGAGAUUUUUCCAGUCCUGUGUCUAUAGAAUCUUUUCUGUGAUUUGACACCUGAACAGAAGGCUGGAAACUGGAAGGAAGAUAACAAUUCAAUAGCUAAACUGGACUGGAGAAACUAGGCGGUACUAGAGAAAGCUGAGGCUUGUAGCUCUCUAAGCCAGUUGUGUUAUCUUAACUGGUCAAUGUGGGAGUCAAAUGCUACAAAACUAUGAACUCUUCAUCCCUGUUCUUCCCCUUUAUAAUUAGAUUUGCACUUCACAGAGUUCAAUAAAAGCAGGAAUAUGUCACAUACCGACACAAUUACAGUAUGGAGGAGGCAUUGCUACAUGACAGAUCCUCUGAAAAGGAUUUGAGGUUUUUGAUGAACAGCAAGCUUUAUAUGAGUAAACAAUAUGCAAUAGAAGCAAACAAAACAAAAACAAUGCAGCUGCAUUAAUAAAAAUGUAAAACCAGAAUGAAUGAUAUACUGUAGUCUGUCCUGGUCAGUCCAAAUUCAAAUCUAGAAGCCACAUUUUAGAAAAGACAUUGGAAUGCUAGAGCAUUCCAGAGGAAGGUGACUAAUGUGAUCAGAUAACUGUAAACAAUUCCAUGGUAGGAUUAUUUACAGGAGCUGGGGAUGUUUAACCUGUAAAAGAGGAGACUUUGUAAGGGUUCUUAACCUUAGUCUGUCUUAUUGACCCCUUUGACAAUCUGGGGAACGUUAUGGACAUUUUUUUUAAAUAAUGUUUUUCGAUAGAUGAAAAUUGCUAAGUUUCAAUUCAAUUAUUGGAAUGAUGCUUUUAGAUAGAAAGAAAUGUUGAAUUUCAAUAAAUUUCAAUUUAAAAUAUGCUAAUGAAAAAAAUGAUAAAUUUCAAUUAAUGAAAAAAGGAUGGAAAAUUUUUCCCCACCCGAUUUCAUAGAUCUUUUCACCAUAAAUCUUUCCCAAGUAAAGGGAUAGUUUAAAUAUUCAGUCAUAUUAGGCUUCUUAUGCUCAUCAAGGAGUGGGAGUUGCAGAGAUGUGGAAUUCUACUUUAUAAUAAGAAAAUCUUCCUACCAAUUAGAACCAUCCCAAAAAUAGAAUGAGCUAUUUAGGAAGGUAGUGAGUUCUCCAUCUCUGGAGAUCUUCAGGCAGGGAUUUGAUGACAACUUGUCGGUGAUAUGGUAGAGAAGAUUCCCAUUCAAAUAUGGGUUUAUUGUUUUGUAAUUUAAACUAUGAACCCAUUAAUUGAGAGAAUGUUUUGUAUAAUUAGGUUUAUUUAGUUGUAGUUAGUAGAGUGCUUGGUGGUGCGAAUGACUUUUAAACUGGGAACUGAAAGAGGAGGAAAAUAUGUAUAAUGAUUAUAGGAAAUAAACAUCAAACAUGGGAAAUUCAGUCAGUCAUUGGGAUAUUGAGCUUGUUUUGCCCUCAUAUGAUAUGCCAUGAGGAAGGCAAUAGCAAUGUGCUUGUGCUCAUAAUAGAAGGUCCAUGGAGUGGAAGGAAUUCCAUGACAAGCUUCUCAGUCUCAUCUAAGCCACUUGCUGCCUAUUUCUUCAGAUGCCUCUGAAUUAGAGCCUUAGAGGUAAUUGUGUAAUCAUAAGAGGCAUCUCAGACUCUCUUCCUUUGAGCUUAGACUUGUUUCUUCCUUAAUAUCGAUGCCUCUUCAUAGAUGUCUUUCCCAUCCUAAACCCAAGACCAAGGACAGUGGUGGUCUCUUAUAGGUCUCUAUUCUGUACUUGGUGCUACCAGCCCUGGGAAUGACAGCUGAAAAGCAGUGUGCUGAUUUAAAAGUGCUUUAUUUCAGAGUUUGGGAUUUGGAGUCAUAAGACUUGAGUAAAAAUUGUGGCUCUUUCGCUUUCUAUCUAUGUGAUUUGCAGCAAAUCACAACUCUGUGGGCCCAGGUUUUCUCAUCUGUAAAAUGAGAGAGGAGGACUAGAUGACCUUAAUCUCUUCUGGCUGUCUCAGUUCCUGGCUCUGUUACUUACUACUUGUGCUACUUUGGGAAUAGCACUUCAAGUCUGCUGGCCUCCAUUUCAGUGAUGGGUGGAAUUUCAUAAGAUUUCAUAAGGCUUGUAUUUAACAAAAUCAAGAGCAGAAGUGCAAGAUGGGAAACGUGAGACUAGACAACAGUUUCUGAACAAAGGAUUUGUGUUUUUAAAAGAUUGUAAGAUAAACUCAAUGACUUGAUAGGAAUUUACUCAGCAGGAGUUCGCUAUACAGUUUGAAUCCUAGAGCCAGACCAAAAGAAGAUAAAAUUUAAUAGGUCAACAGCAUGACAUAGCAAAAGAAAAAAGCUAAAGCAAUCUUAAGAGAAACAGAGCAUCCAGAAUAAGAAUACCCAGAAUGAGUGAUAGGGUGAUUGUACCAUUUUGCUUUUCUCUAGUCUGACUAUAUCUGGAUUAUGGUCUUCAGGUCUCUGUGACAUUUGAGAGGAUAUUGAUGAGCUAAGGGGUCACCAGGAUGGAAAAUGGGCUGUUGACUGCCAUAGGAAAUUGGUUUGAAACACUUGAGAACAAAUCUAGCCUCUUACUAGUUUUAUGUCCUUGUGUAAGUCAUUUAAUCCACCUGACUCAGUUUCCUCAGUUGCAAACCAGACAUAAUAAUAAUACCUAACUCUUUGGGUUGUUGUGAGGAUCAAAUGAGAUAAUAUUUAUAAAGUGCUUAGCACAUAACCCAGUAGUACACAGUAAUUGCUUAAUAAUUGCUCAUUUCCCCUUCUGUCAAGAACUGGAGUUGUUUAAUUUAGAGGACAGACAGCAUGGGAAUGAAGUAGAAUAGCAGUCCUUAAGCACAUGAAAGGGUUUUAGAUGGAAGCAGGGGUAUUCUGGUAAGUGGUUGGGUCUCUGAAGGAAAAAAAAUAUUACGCAUUACAUAUUUUAAGAUUUAAUCUGCUUUAUUAACAUUUUCUCCAUCACUUUCUUAAGUCUAGACAAUCAACCAAACAACAAAUUAAGUCCAGAUUUGCAGUACUUGUCAGUUUCCAAGGUGGAAUUGCUCACAUUGAAAACUGAAAUUUUGACAAUCAGCUCUUGCUAGACUUGUAUGAACUGGUUUCAGCUCAACCUUGGGAGGAAGUGGGAUUAGGUUUGAAUUUUUGGCUCCAAAACAUAGAUCUUGGGGCAAUGAGUGGAAGCUCUUGAAGGACAAGUUUGGAUUGACUCGGCUGACUUGGUAAGUAUAGCUUCCUGAUUAACAGAGAUUUUGGAGCACAGAUGAGAAAACCACUUGAAUGAAAGAAUGAAAAUAUUUAUGAAGCACCCAUGAUAUGCAAAGCACUUCUCUAAGUGCUAGUCAUGCAAACAGAAGAGUAAGACAGUUUCUGCUCUCCAGGAACUCACAGGGCAGACAACACAAAUGGAAGAUGUAGCAUUGGGGAUUCUUGUGCAGGUAUAGUCUCAAUGAGUUGAUCUCUAAGCAACCUUCUAGCUCUGAAACCAGCAUCUAGAAAUGGUGCAUAAGACAUAGAGGGAGACAGGGAUUGGUGAAAUCAGUUGGAAGGUUAUGGUAUUAGUCUAGGUGAGGAUGAGGCAGUUAGCUAGGAUAGUGACAAAGGGAAUGGAACUGAUAGCCCACAUUUAUAUUUAAAGUUUGCAAAAGAAUUUGCUUACCACACCCAUGAGAAGUAGAUGAGGAGACUUCUGUCAGUCCUGUUUUAGACAUGAAGAAACUGAGACUUAGGAGGGUUAAACUGACUUGACCCAGAUUAUACACCAAGCAACUGUCACAGUCUGGAUUUGAAUCCAAGUUUCCUAAUCUGAUUCAUGUACAUUUUCUUUCUUAUUCUUUUUUAAAACCUUUACCUUUUGUAUUAAAAUCAAUACUUAAAAUUACUUUAGAAGCAGAAGAGCAAUAAGGGCUACAUAAUUGGGAUUAAGAGACGUGGCCAGAGUCACAUAGCUAGGAGGUGUCUGAGGCCAAAUUUGAACCCAAAGAACCUCUCAUCUCCAGGACUGGCUGUCUACCACUAAGCCACCUAGCUGCCCCUUUUGUACAUUUUCUAUUCCAACAAGCUAUCUUUCAGGUUUAGUUCGAGGGCUAUUGAAGUAAUGGAACUGACAGAUUUGGAGAUUAGAUGCAGAAAACAAAGGUGAAGAAAGAGUGAGGAGUAAUUUAGAGAUCAAAACCAUGAGUCGCUAUGAGAGUGGUAACACUAUUAAUAGAAAUAAGAAUAUCAGAAAUAAAAAGAUUUUUAAAAAUAUAGUCCUACUGGUCUUUGUUUUUACAACAUUCGUUGAUAUACCCCCACAUCCACACAUGUCCUUGAACCUUCCUUUGUAAUAAAUAAAAGCAGUUAAAUAAAAUCAAUUGACACACUUUCCAUAGCUGACAACAUAAAUGAAAUACUGGGACUUCAAUUCCCCACCUUUGAUAGAUAUGCUUGCACACUAAUAAUGACCACUACAAUUAAUUAGAUUUUAGCUCUCUUUCUCUCUAUAUAACUCAAAAGUUGAGGGAGGAAUAGGGUCAAAUUCUGCUUGUAUGACUGUGAGCAUGUUACCUAAUAAAAACACCUGUUUGCUCAUCUGUAAAAUGAAGAUAAUCAUGUGUGUAUAUCUACCAAACAGACUUAUAAGAAUCAUAUGGGACAAUGUAUGUAAGAAAUUUUAUCAAUAUCAGUUCUCAUGGUCAUAGUCUGGUUGUUUUAGAGAUAGAAAAAACCCUAAAAAAUCAUCUAGUCUCCUAGCCUCAUUUACCCCCUUUGCUCUCAAAGAAUUUAUAUUCUAAAGGGGGAAAAAUCAUAUAUAAAAUCCAGCUGGAAAGCAGAGGGGGUGAGAGGAGGAAUGGAAAAGGUUUCUACAUGGGACCAUGAUGUCAAAGUUUAGAAAGCCAAAAUAGGAGAGAAAUGAAGAUUAGCAUGCUUAAGCCCUUCUCUCAAUGGUGGGACAUGGAGGAACUCAUCAAAUGGAGAAGAGAACUGACCUAGCAGAGAGUAUUCUAGGAUGCGAUAGAUAUCCUUGGAUGAAAUGGUUCUAGGCACUGAGGAAAUUCUAAGAAGCUGAGAUAUAUUGGCAAAAUAUACAGUAGUCUUCCAUCACAUUCACAUACUAUUAUCUACUUUAUGCCUUUCAUACUUAAAAAAAUCUAAUGGAAAUGGCUUUUGUUCUAUACAUUUGAAUAAAUUCCUCAUAUAUCUCUGAAAUUAGAACUUUGUCAGAGAAACUGGUGCAAAAAUUUGCAGGAAACUGUUUCCCAUCUAAUUUUUGCUGUGCUGUUUUUUUUUUAACAAAAUCUUUAAAAUUUUGUAUAAUCAAAAUUAUCCAUUUUUUUCUUGUGAUCAAUUCUAUCCCUUGUUUAGCCAGGAACUCUUCUAUCUACAGUUCUAUAAGGUAAUUUAUUUCUUGGUCUUCUAUUUAUCCUAUAACCUUUUAUUUAUGCCACAUAGCCAUUUGGAAUCAUCUUACUAUAGAGUGGGAGGUGAUUGUCUAAACUUAAUUUCUGCAAGACAUUUCCAGUUUUCCCAAGAGAUGACAAAGCAUUUAUCAAACACUAACUCUGCCAUGCCAAAUUUCUUGUCCAUUGAUAAGUUUCUUCAUGUCCCUCCAUUUUGGGGAGGGAUCUACAUCUGCUAACCUUUAUUUCUCCCCUCUUUCUGCUUUCUGGACUUUGAAACCGUGGCCCCAUAUCGAUACCUUUUCAUUUUUCCCUUCAUCCCCUUUAUUCUUUAGCUGGCGUUUGUAUGUUAUCUUCCCCCUAUAGAAUAUAAACUCUUUGAGAGGUGAGCAUAUAAAAUGAGGAUAGUAGCCUAGAUGAUUUUUAAUCAUCCUUUAUAUCUCUAAAUCUACCAGGCUAUGAUCAUAUGAACUGAUAUUAACAAAACUUUUACAUACAUUGCCUUUUUUGAUUCUCAAAAUAACUCUAUUAGGGAGAUACUACACAUACCACUAUCUUUAUUUUACAGAUGAGGAAAUAGCACUUUGAGUUGUUGGGUAACUUUCUCACAGUCAUACAACUUAUAUGUGAGAAGUAGAAUUUGCAGAGAAAACAGAGUUAUGUUUAAUAAGGAAUGGGGAUUGGCAAAAUGAGGGUUUCUGAAGAUUAAGGGGGCAAAACCCCCUAAGGAUCAUAUUUAUUACUGAAGUUAAAUUCAUAUAGAAAAGGUUCAAGAUAGUUAAUUUCAACACUCAUCAGAUACCAUUAGGUGUCUAUAUUUAAAGAAUAAUUGAGGAUACAAGGUUAUAUAAUACCUGCUCUCACUUAAAUGAAAAUCUAAUGGCAUCGAUGAGACAAAAGCACACAGAUAUGAAUUCUAUCAGAUAAUAUUCACUGAGUGCAUGAUUUAAGUAAAACAAAGUAAAUAACAAUUUCUCACAUUUAUACAAUGCUAUGCUUUACAGAUUGUUUUACCCUCAGUAAUCCUGUGUCAUAGAAAGUGCAAGUAUUAUUCUCUCCUGUUUGCAAAUGAACAAAAUAAAGCAACUUGUCCAUGGUCAGUCAAGGGAGCUGGAAUUUGAACCCAGGCAUUCUGACUCCAGAUGCACCACUCUAUCUAGGAUUGUGAACAAUCAAUGAUAUCCAAGAUGCUGGGCUUGGAGAGGGCACCAACUAGUCACGUUGCCAGUACUGGUGAGAGAAGGUCAGCAGAGGAGAAAGCUUUGAAUUAAUUGGUGUAGCAGGAGAGAUUGGAGUUGGGAAGUCUUCACAUCUUGGUACUUGUGAAACAACGUGCUCAUUUUUGGUAAAGUGGCUGCUCAGAGCCACUGACAGCUCUAGGGUGUGAGCUGAGGGAUAGGCAGCAUGUGUUAGAUAGGAUAGAACUGUGUUGUGGCUCAUCUUAUUUGCAUAUGUGUUUAUUUUUCCUAAAACAGAAAUCAGCUAAAGGUCAUGCAUCAUCUUGAUUGAUGAUGUUUGAAGUGGGAAUAGUGAUAUCAAGUCUUAUGUAAAGUGCUUUGAGAAAAAGAAUAUGUUUUUUAAAAAGGAGAGGAUAUUUUUGUUUUCUUUCUUCCUUUUCUUCCUUUUUUUUCAUUUCACAUAUGGCCUGAAUAACUCCUGAUGCUAUCCCUCUGCUGUGCAUGAGGGCAGGAUUUCAGGGAGCCAUAAGGAUGCUGAGAAAUCAGUCAAACAGGCUUUAAGAGUUUUGCAUUUUUUUCCUGUGAACAUCUUGCUGACGAAACAGUUUGAAAUAGAUUUGGUGAACAGACACCAGCAGUUUCAAAUUUGGAACUCAGAAGCAAUCCAGUUGUCUUUGGGGUCCCCAGAGAUCCCAAGAUAGGGACAGAUCAUUUCUCUGAAGGUUAAAUCACAAAAUCAGCACCUUCUAAGUUAUAAAUAAUCAUUGUCACCAUGGGAUUUGAGAGGAUAAUGUUCUCUGAGAAGGCAGGGCAAAUAAACAUUGCAUCCAUUUCACAAAGAAACUGAGGUAUAGAGAGAUGAAUUGGCUUGAUCAAGGUUACACAGAAAGGAAUUUCAAUCUAAAUUUGGCCUCUUAAAAUUGUGCCUCCUGAGAUUAUUGGUCAGUCAACCUUGUUGAGAAAAAUAAACAGAAAACCAAGGAAGAAAUUACCUUACAGAUUUAUGGAUAAAAGAAAAAAAGAAUGAUAAAAAAGAAAAAAAAUAAUAAAAAGCGAGUAGAGAGGAUCACAGAAGAAUCCAUUCUGUAACUUUUUAAAAAUUGAUAUCUUUGUCAUAACAUCACUUUCAUUUUUUAAGAAAAACUCAUUUUCCUCUGCUCCAAAUUGUGACAGAGAAAAAUACUUUACAACAACAUCUAAUACAGCGACUACCUCAGUUGGAAUAGUUCUCUGUCUCUCUGCUCUGACAAAGGAGUUAUACUCUAUAAUUUGUCUUCUUGGACCAUAAUAUACAUUUUUUGCUUUGUUGGCUCAGAGUUCAAAUUCUCCUUAGAGAUUUUUUCCCUUUACAUUGCUGAGGUCAUCAUGUCUAUUUUUUAUGGUUAUGUAUAUUUUUAUCUUUGUAUCAGUUCCUAGAAAUCUCCUAUUUUGGUUUGAACUAUCAAUAGAUCAAUGAGCAUUUACUAAAUGUCUACUAUGAGAUCUGUAUUUGUUUUUGAGGAGCUUAUAUUUUACCGGGAGAGACAAUAUGUACAUGUAGACAUAUGUAUAUACAGAACAAAUUAAUACAAGGUAGGUAGGGAGAGAGGACAUGAACAAAGAAUAGGAUAAUAUCACUCAGUCUCAGAGUUACAUGAUACCAGCCACUGUACUCUACCAUACCCUGCUGUUUACUGAAGAAUAACAUUCCUGAGAUAGAUCUAGAGCUAAAGUUCUUAAUCUGGGGCUUGUGAGCAUAUCUAGAGCUAGUUAUGACUACAUCUCAAUAUAAUUGGUGUCCUUUAUAAUGCUAUGUAUUUAAGGAAUAUUAUUCUGAAAGAGAUUAAUAGACUUCACCAGAUUGACAAAGGAGUCCAUAACCCAAAAUGUUCACUACUCCUCUUCUAAAGAAUUCUAGAAGGAAAACAAUUAGAAGGGAGUAGAAUGAGAAUAUUACUUGGAAGAAUGCAUUGCAAAUUAAUAUCAUUAAAAUCAAGGAAUUGAAGAGAUUGUGGGACCAGUGGGACCAGUAUAAAAGACAAGACAUCUCAUUCAAUUGAGUGAGGAGAAAAAUUUGCUGUUCAAAAAGAAACAAAGACAGAGAGAGAGAUCCAAGAGAGAGAAAGAACUAGAGAGGCUAAGAGUAACCAUAAAAUUAUUACUAAUUUUUUAAAAAUCUGUAAUUCCCCUUUUAGAAUCAUUAGUACGUAUUGGUUCCAAGGCAGAAAAGUGUAAGGGCCAGGUAAAGGGGCUUAAUAAAUUGCCCAAUGUCAUAAGGCCAGGAAGUAUCUGAGGCCAGAUUUGAACCCAGAUUUCCCCUCUCUGGGUCUGGUUCUCAAUCCAUUGAACCAUCUACCUGCCCCCAGUAAAACUAUUUUUAAAAAAUAUUUGAUAGGUAAUUUUAGAACCAAAUUAAAGAAAGCAUUAAAAACCAAAGAGACUAAGUACUGGAUUACAAGCAGAAGAUAAUAAUCUGUGCAUACAUACAAGUACAUUUCAGAAGAUAACACAAAGCUAACAAUUAUAAACCUAAACAUGAAUGUUUAGGAAGAGUAGUUUGACUACUCAAGGGGGACAGAAGGAGGAUGAGACAAAGAAGAGAAAAUAGAGCCAUCUAACCCUUACUUUUUGCUUUUUGUUUUGUGCCAAGAGAAUGAAUAAUCUUUGGAUUUGAAAGAAGAGAACAAAAAUGGUUAAUAAAGAUUUAAAACAGAAGGCAAGAGAGCACUUAGCUGCCCUCAGAGAUUUCAAGCCCCUAGAUCUGGAUGAACUAUUUUCCAAGGUACUGAAAUAACUGGUGCACAGAAUCACUGAACUGCUGUAGAUGAUCGUUGAAAAAAAUCUUUGCAAGAGGGAGAGAUAUAAUAAUGAUAAAAAGUAAAUAUUCAAAUUUUCUUUACAAAAUAAAGAAUUAGAAAGUGUCUUUCAACUAUAGACUGAGGAAUUGGAUGUCAAUUUCUGGAAAAAAAAUGUCCAGAAUAUCUUAUUAAAGGGAUGAUCUGUAAUUGUGGAGAAAAAAAGGAAGCAGCAAUUUCUAAGAGGUACUAUGUCUUUAUUGAGGUCAUGCCAGAUUAAUCUCAUUUCUUAUUUUUGGGUACAGCUUUGUUGGAUUAAUCAAUUAGGAAAAUGUUAUGGAAUUAAUAUAUCUGGAUUCCAGAAAAAACAUUUGGAAAUCUUUUCAUGCAUCAUCUUUGUGGAUAAGACACAGAGAUACAGACUAGAUAGUGUUAUAGUUAGGUGUAUUUUUAACUUGUCAAAUGACUUGACUGAUGUCUUUAAUAGUUUGAUGUCAACUUGUUGAAAAUCUCUAGUGGAUUGUUCCCAGGAUUAUUUCUUUGUCCUAUGCCCUUCAAUAUUUUUUAUCAAUGAAAUAGAUGGAAGGUAUAACUAGCAUGCUUAGCACAUCUUAAUUUGGAGGUAUAGAAAACACAUUAUGUGUUAGAGUCAAGAUCCUAAUACAUAUUGGCAUGCAAGAACAAUGGAAUGAAACUACUAAGAUUAAAUUUAACGGAAACAAAUGUAAUGUCCUAUUCUGAGAUUGAAAUAAUCCAUUUCAUAAAUUAAGGACGAAUGGGAGGCUUGGGUAGCCAGAAGUUUUUAUGGAAAGUGUUUUGGAGUUUUAAUGGCCUACAAGUUAAAUUGUAGCAAGCUCAGUCAUGAUGAACAGCUAAAAAUUAAGGCCAUAUUGGGUGUCAAGAGAGGCACAUAAUUUCAAGGAAUAAGGAAGUGAUGACUCCACUAUGCUUUUCCCUGUAAAGCCCAUAUUUGGAAUAUUGUGUUCAGUUCUUCAUGUUCCAUUUUAGGAAGGACAUUGAUCAACUAUAGUACGUCCAGAGGAAUGCAAGUAAGAUAAUGAAAGAUAUAGAAUUAAUACCAUAAGAAGAUCAAUUGAUGAAAAUAGAAAUAUAUAGACUGGAGAAAAGGAAGAAUUUAAAAAUAUAAUCACUCUCUUCAAAUAUUUGAAUGGCUAUUAAUAUGAAAUUGUUCUGCUUGAUCUUAGAGGGAAGAAUUAAGUAGAAACUGCAGAGAGGCAUAAUUAGGCCCAACCUAAGAAAAAAAAAUUCUAAAAUUAGAGUUCUGAAAAAUGAAAUGAGUUUCUUUGGGAGGGCACUAUUUCACCCUCACCAAAAGUCAUCAAGCAGAAGAUGGAAGACCAGUUGUUGAGUAAACAGUGGAAUAAAUUUCUGAUUGUAUAUGGAUUGAGAUAGAUGGUCUCUAAAAUCCUUUUUGGCUUUGAGGUCCUGGGAUCUCUAAGGUAAUAUGAAUUUCCUUUUCCAAGAGAAAAGGAUGAGGAUGAAAAUAAGGAAAAACUACCUGGAAGAGGUAGCUUUAGCCUUGGAAUGUGGAAGGAUAUCUCUGAUGGUAUUUGGAUUAGACUAAUCAUCUUAUUCCCUGCUAAGGUCUUCUUUAAGUAUCUACCAAUAUACCUUUAACUUUGGUUGAAUAUGUUUCUCUCCUCUCUAGACAUAUAUUUUUCUUCACACAUGUACAUAGGACCUUUCCAUAGCAAAAUUUGUUGCUUCAUAGAGUUUAUAGACUGUAGUCAACACAACAUUUCCUAUUGCCCAUAAUUACAUCUAAAUAGGAAUUAUCUAUUUAAUAUCUAAGUCCCAUCUUCUGAUUCCAGAAUGAUAAAAAAGUUCAACUACAUUUCCAAAUGUCAUUUUCUACUACCUUUCUACUCUACCAAUUCACAGUAUAUUUUUCUCCAGGUACAAAAAAUCCCCACAAAACCUAUUUUUACUAUAAUUUUCUACCUUACCAUUUUUUUUGCCUGAUCUAAGAUCCCAUUUUCAUAAGAACAGGUAUCCACAGAUUUAAGUAUAUUCAUUAUAAAUGAUCUUUAAUGUAAAUGUUGCUGGUAGCCUCUGUGGAGGAUGGACAGACUUGCAUGCAAUAAUCUUUCCUCUCUCCCUGUUAGACAUCUGUUGAGACACAUGUCUGGGAAGCUGAGAGCAGUGACUAAAGCAAGCUAAAUGAGGAACCUUCAUGGAGAAUGGAGAUCACAAGACAGUAAAGAAAGAUAGGAUGUGCUCAGAUAUGAGCAGAUAACCCUAGACUUCCAUCUAAUCUUUCACUAAAGUCUUCAACUCUAGGGCCAAACAGGAGUACUAAAAGAGGCUGAACCUUCCAAGAAGCUGAGUAUUUUAGGGGUGUGUAUUCUAAAAUUCCUGGAUAAUGUGGGAAAAUGGAAAGACAAACUAUAUUUAUUCAGGAAUGUGAUGGAUGCUGCUUGAGCUGGUUUAGUUUCCUAAUUUUCAGACUAGGUAGGGGCAAGGAGAUGAUAUAAAUUAUCACUAAAAGUCCCCAUGAUUCCCCCUAGAAUCUUCAUUGGUACACAGGUAACCAUGAGCUCAGAACACAUUGAAUUGAAAGUAGGAAACAGAUUUGUUUUGCAUAUCCCCAAAGCAUAAAUUGAAAGUGUUUUUAAGCUAGAGCCCAUCAUAUGUUAAAUGGAGGCAAAGUAUGGUAAUAUCUUCUUUCUUCAUCAUAAAUGCCCAGACCAAAAAACAAACAAACAAAGGCAGAGGAAAGAAGAAGAGAGAGCUAAAUUUUGAUUUAGAAAAAAAAUUUGCCUCAAUCUGAGGAUGGCAUUGGUCAUAAGAGUGGCAAUUUCUUCCCCAGAUACCUCUAGGCAAACUUGAUUUCUAUAGGUAUCUGAGUGAACAUGUAUUCUCAACAAUAACAAAGAUUGUUCUCUCCUGACUCUUUUAUUAAAUGGAAUCUUCCUGAACUCAGGGUCUAGGGCAUGUCUAAUAUUGCAUUCCUACUGUUUAACACAACCUGCUAGAGAAAGAAAGCAUUUGGUAAGAGAUAAAAGAUGUUUAACUGAAUUGAAUUGCAGAGGGUCAGAAAAAGGAGGAUUGGCUGAGAAGAGGAAGAUUCUGGAAUCUGGCUGGGAGCUACAGUAGGCUUUUCUGUUGUAUUGCUAUUCUCAAAGUGCUAUAGGACAAGAAGCAUUUUUCUUGACUCACAGUUUUUAGCUUAUACUAUUGAAUUCUUUCUUUGGGAACAAAAUUCCAAUUCUCCAGUGGAAAUCAUUAGGGAAAAGAAUCUCCUCUGCUGAAAACUUCUGAAGUAGAACUGGUUGCCCAACAAACUAGUUUGCUUGAGUAGCUUGUGGAUAAUGGUGGUGCUGAACCAUUACCUUUAUGGAAUUGAUUUUCUUAUAUGGCUCAAAUAACUGGUUCCAAAAGAAACUUACACAAUGGAAAUGUUAUGUGCUCCAGUGAACAUUCUUCAAGUUUUAUGGAAUAUCUACCAGCUUAAAAUGUGAAAUCUUAUAACUUAGGCACAAUCUUAGAUCAAUGACAAAAUUAGCUAGAUUAUUACCAUAGAGUGAAUUUAGUCAAAUUCUCCCUCAAUUGCUAAAUCUCCUUUGUAUCUUGAAAGGAUAAUCUUCUAUCCCUUAUGUCUCUUUUUUAAAGUGCCUAUAAAGGGAGAAGUACAAUAAGGGGCAAUUCUUGGCUAAGAACAGGAUAAAGCAAAAAAUAAAUCUAUCUAGAUUACAUUAUUAUUAGGUUGAAGUAUAAAAUUCAGAAAAAUCUAAAUAUGUUCAGUAUUUGUUAUCUGUCAUCAUAUCAAUAAUGUCCCUUCAUUAUCACUGUUCCACCCAAUUUAUUCAGAUCUUAAUGACUGAGAUUUACAUGACAGAAGACUGCCUAAAUGAUGAAUCUGCUUCUGGAGGUAUGGAAUGACAGGUAAUAGAGAACCUUUCCCUCCACUGUGGAAAGUCAUCACCGAGUCUCUCCAUACAUUUUGGCAACAGAACUAGGGCCAAAGUUCCACUUGUUCAGAAUCCCAGACCUGAAGUCAAGAACAUCUGAGUCCAAAUAUGUCCUCAAAGGUUUUCUAGUUGGUCAAUCCUGUGCAAAUCAUUUAACUUCUGUUUGCCUCAGUUUCUUUAUCUGUAAAAUGGAAUUAAUAAUAGCAUCUACUUCCCAGGGUUGUUAGAAUUAAUGAGAUAAUAAUUAUAAAGCAUUUAGAAUAGUUCCUAGCAUACACUUAGUAGUACAUAAAUGUUCUUAUUUGUUAUUACUAUACAUGUGAAUUAAUUUUCCUCAGUUUCCUUAAUGUCCUUAUAUGCAAAAUGGAAUCAGUAGAUUAGAUGACCUCAAAGGCUCUUCUAGCUCUUAUCCUUGAGUUAGUAUUAAGCCACAUGAGCCUAAGAAGAGGAGUCGCAUAGUCAGACUUGGAUUUAGGACUGGGUUGUCAAGGCUCAUUUGGAGAGAGGAUAGGAGAGUGAAAUUUAAAAAGGCCUUUAGGAUGAUCUGUGCUAAAUAUUGUGCUUUAGGGAAUAUAUGCACUUUACACAUGGUGUCUUUCAUUUUAAGAAUAAUAAUAGCUUCCUUUAUAUAGUGCUUUAAAAUUUUUCAAAGCAAUAUGCAAAUAUUAUCUUAUUUUUUUCCCAAUGACAACUUUAGGAGGAACCCGCUAUUAUUUUCCCAAUUUUACAGACAAGGAAACUGAAGUGGACAGAGGUUAACUGGUUUACUAAGGUUGAUAUGGCUAAUAAGUGUAAGAGGCAGAAUUAGAAUUCAGGUCUAAACUGACUUUAGGUUUAGCACAAUGGUCUUGAGCAAUAUUUAUAAUAUUCUAGGUGUGUAAAAUACUUUUCUAGGACUUCAGAUUAUAUAGAAUAUGUGAAUGGAGAAAUAAGAUUUAGCAGUGUAUUAUACAUGGGAGGCAAGUAAGACUGAGAUGUUUUUGGAUGACUUCAAGGAUGUAGGCCCAAGAGAAUGAGAAGAUGCUGAUACUCUAGAUCAGCAGUUUUCAACCUGUGGGUCACGACCCCGGCGGGGGUCAAAAGACCAAAACACAGGGGUCGCCUAAAGCCAUCGGAAAAUAUUUCCGAUGGCUUUAGCUGCUGAGAAAUCAUGCUACUUUACAGCAAGAUCUCAGAAAGAACGGGGACCCUGCUGCCCACACAUUGUACUAAUAUUAGUUACUUAUCAGCAGCCCUCCCCCUAUGAGGGGUGAUGGAUUUACCCUGUUGCUUAGAGACGGGACUCAAACAGAGACCCAGAGAGAGGACCCAGGCACUGUCUCCAGAGGGGUUAAGAACAAGUCCUGGAGUGGAUCACUCCUGGAGCAGAUAAUGGAGCAGAGUAACCCCAGCAAAGUGAAGCCUCAGCUUGAGCUGAAGGGAGAUGACAGGAAGUAGAAGGCAGUGUCUGCGGACCCCCCUCCCCAGGCAGGACUUAACUCCCGCCCCAGCUCUCAGGCUGCCUCCUGCUGGAUUAAUAUUUCUCAACAUAUAAUUAAAUAUUGUUUUUGUGAUUAAUCACUAUGUUUAAAUUAUGUUUGAUUUGUAGCAAUGAGAAUACAUAAUGCAUAUCAGCUAUUUACAUUCUGAAUCAUAACUGUAGCAAAAUUACAGUGUUGAAGUAGCCACCAAAAUAAUUUUUUGGUUUGGGGUCACUGCAACAUGACGAACUGUAUUGUGGGGUCACGGCAUUAGAAAGAAUGAGAACCACUGCUCUAUAUAAUAAAGGGAAGUUGGAAAGAGGGAAUAAUUGGGAGAAAAGGAAAUUACUUCUUUUCUUACAUAAGCUUACUCUUUUUUCCAGAUUAUGUGUCAUUACAAUUUUCAAUAACUGUUUUCUGACAUUUAGCAAUCCAUGUUAGUUCUUCUUUUUUGAACACAUUGAGCUUAAGAUUCUUAUAGGGCAUUCCAUCUAAAAUAUUCAGAAGACAGUUGGUAAUGUGAAACUGCAAUUCAGAUGAAAGUCUAGGCCAGGAUAUAUAGGUCUUGGACUAAUUUAAAUAGAAUUUAUAACUGAGCCCAUGGGAAUUCGUGAGAUUUAAUAGGGAGUUGCAAGUUCCUCCUUUUCAAGUAAAAUAAUCCAGAACUAAAAAAGGGGUGGUUCAGGAUGGAGCCUUGAGGGACACUCAUAGUUAGUGGGAAUGACAUGGGUUAAUAAUGAGCAAAGUCGACUGAAAAGGAGCAAGUUGGAUAGGAAGAGAGCCACCAGGUAAGAGUUUAUUUUGACAACCCAGUGAGGAGAGAGAAUCCAAGGGAAGGUGUGUCAACUAUUACAGAAAGGUCAAAAAGGAUUAGGAUCAAAAACUAUUCUAUUUAUCACUUAAGAAAUUGUGAGUAAUUUGGCUGCAGGGGUAAGUUUCAGUUGAAUAAGGUCAGAAGUCUAAUAAGACUAAUAAGAGAAGGCUUAGAAGAGAAUAAGAGAGAAAGUAGAGACACGGGAUGUACAUAGCCUUUUCUGGAAAUUUAACCACAAAGGGAGAAGAUAAGAUCAAGUGAGGAUUAUUGCCAGUUUUGUUGUUGUUGUAGCUUUUGUUUGUAGAAUAGAAGAGACCUUGGCAUGUUUUUAGAAAGCAGGAAAGGAGCCAGUAAAUAGAGAAAUAUUAAAGGGGUGUGUGUGACAGAAAAAGCCAGAUACACACAGAAAGGCAUAGUAAUAGUGGAGGACAAUCUGAAGUGUUGAGGAGACAGAGUCAAUGAUCAGGGAUGCAUAUAGAGGGCUUGGCUUUGGCAAGAAGAGGAGCCAUCACUAUUCAUUAUACCGGUAGCAUUUAUAUAGCAUUUUAAAGUUUUCAAAGUAUAUUACAAAUAUUAUCUCAUUUAAUCUUCACAAUCUUGGGAGGUAGUUGCUAUUAUUAUCCUCAUUUCAAGUUGAGGAAACUAAGGCAGAAAGAGAUUAAGAGAUUAAGGUCACAUUGCUAAUAAGUGUCAGAGGUGGAAUUCGAACUCAGCUUUUGACUUCAAGGUUCAUUGCUUUAGUUAUAGUUUUACCUAUUUGCCUUUUCAUCCAAGAAAGAAGGAAGAGAUGGUAAGGGAAGAUACCUGAAUGAUUUGAGCUAAGGAGAAAGCAGAAGAGAGAGCUCUCAGGAAACAUCUUUAGUAAUUUACCCAGUGUUUUUUGGAAAAGCUAUGAGAAGAAAAUAAUUCCUCUCUUGCUGGGGAUCUGCAUCAGCAAAGUCAUCUAUCACUUGGAGGCUAAAAGAUCAAGUCAAUUUGUUAAUGAAAUAUCUAUCAAGUAAACAGGAAGGAGGACCAAAAUUCACAGCAAACCCCUAAAGACCUGUACUCUUCUGGUGUGGGCUAACCACAUUAAAAAAAAGAGUGGGAAGGAAACACUGAGUAAGCCUCAAUGGAUUGUCUCCACGAAAUCAGAUUUUUGUGUGAGAUGGGGAUAACUUAAGGUGAAACUGUUUAGGAAAAUAAGAUGAGAAGACUCAAGGCAGGAAGUUUCUGACAAAUAUCUCAGCAUCUUCAAAGUUCUGAUAGUCCCUUAACCUUUUCAAACCUGCAAUGUCUCAGACCUCUUGUAAAGUGGGAAUCCAUAUUUACUAAGCUUAUUUUGCAUAGAACCCUUCUCAGACACACCACCCAAUUGUUAAAAUAUACUAAUUUGAACCAAACCCUUCCCAAAAUUUGGACACCUCCCUGUAAAGCAACCUUUUCUAAAUUUUCAGAGAUGAUAUCAGUUCCUCUUUGGUCACCAGGUCUGGUGUUUGUUCUUCAUUUGAAUUGUUAAGUGUCCCAGAGAAGGUGAUUCCUAUAUUCAAACUGGACACUUGAAAUGGCAAGAGCCCUAAUCAGUCUCAGGUGUUUUUGCUGUUUCUGAAUGGCCAUCAAGGGAAAUGUUCUUCUUAGCUAUUUUUGGAAAUGCAAUAGAAAAGAGAAAGGGAAAAAUAAUUUCCUUAAGAAAACCUUUAAGUCCAACUUUUGAUCUUUCAAAGUUACCAUUUUCAUCAGUUCUCCUACUUCCUUUGUCUUUUGACCAUGUGGGAAUAAUUUUGCCUCUGCCUCAGUUUCAACCUCUGUAAAGAGGUUUGAACUCAAUGGGCUUUAAGGAUGCUUCCAAUUGGUUUAUAGAAAAUGUUCUUUUCCUACACAGAGUAAAAGUUGCUAUGAAAGCUGGCUUAUUAGUUUGCCUACAUGUAACUAACCCAGAUGCUUGUCAUUGGCCUUCUUUACAACCUCAUUAGAAAAAUAUUUAUUUGACUGAUUCAACCUUAGCUCAACAACUUCUUAUGCCAUACCUUGAAUUCUGCAGUUAUUUUUACUGAAAGACUAUGUCAUAGCCAAUUCUAAAAUCAUUUAGGAUUAAUAUUGGAACCAAGUAUUGAGAAUAUUGACAAGUAAAUUAGACUAAGCUAGGACCAUGGUGCAUUGUGACCCAUAUUGUUGUUGUUUCUCCUUUGUUUUCAAAAAGUACCAAUGACAUCAUGGUUGAUGUCUUGACUUGUACAUGAAUUGGAUUUGAGUGAGAUGGAGUUGUAUAAAUACUGUAACUGACUUACAAAUAUGUUAAAGAUUCCAUGACUAUCUAUUUAAAUAUUUUGAGUAGAAGCCAUAGUUCUUGUUCUUUGUCAAUCUUUGAACUUCAAUAUCCCUUAAAUAAAAACUCUUAGAUCUUUCCUUUUAUCAGAAAAAGUCUUAAUUAAAAAUUUAAAGCUAUAAUUCCAGAAGAGAGGCUUUUUAGAAUAAAGGAAAAAAGGCUUGGCGUGGUGUCUAGAAAGCCUGGGUUCAAUGCUGUUUCUGAUAUAAAUUACUUACAGGGCCAUAGAUAAAUCAUUUAAACUAUAAGUGUUUCAGUCUACUCUCUUAAGGUACUCUCUUAAAAUACAGAUUAGUUGCUUAUGUAUAUUCAUAUGGAAGGGUUUACAAUCUGAGAUCCCCACAUCAAUGAAAUCACUAGUGUGGGGUAUGGGGACAUUGAUUUAAAAUUUUAAUUUAGCUUUUGGUUUAUUUAAAUUAUAGUCCUGAUAUGAGAUAAUGUGGAACUAAGAUUGAUUAGUUACUGCAAAUGAAUGAAUUCCAGAGACAUUGCAGACAUUUGUAGAAGGCAUUGUUUUCUAGUUACAAUUACUUAUAUAGAGCUUAUAUUUACUUUAGUUUAUACUUGUUACACUGUUUAUAUCUAGUUUAUAUUUGUUCUAUAUCAUUUGCUCAUUGAUUUUGCCCUAAGAAUAAAUACUGUAGACAGUGUGUAAGGAAGAAAACAAAAAGAAAAAAAAAUAAUUACAGAGAAAUCAAAUUUGUGAUUUAGUAAUGAUUUGCUUAGCAAAAGCAGACAAGAAGAAUACCAAUUAAAUAAAAAAAAAAACAACUCUGUGUUUGAAAUGAGUGUAAUUCCCAAGAUUUUGUUUUCUAUUUUGUUGGUUAUUGGAUGGUAGGAUGAUAACAGAAUUCGGAAACAGUUCUCAGCAAAUCAACUAAUGCAAGUCAUAGGGUGGGUGUAGACUUUUCAAGGAAGAAAGAGGCAGCUUGACUGUCAUUUCAGUCUAUAACACUGUUAGCUUCAAAUCAAGGACCAAAAUUAAAGGAUAUCAAGUAAAAGGAACAACAGCAAGUCAUUCUAACCAUGACCCCCUGUCUCAUUGUCCUACCACAGUUCACACUGUCAAAAAACCCCAAACACCAUUUUAUAGAUGAAUACAUUGAGACCCAGAGAAGUGAUAAUGAGAAAAGUGCCUCAUAAAAGAAUUUAAAAAAUCAUUUUAGUAUCAAAAUUUGUUUCAAUAAACUUUUGAAUUUGUCUUUCUGAAUUCAUUGCUUAUUCUCUAGCUUGAAUUUCAUUUCCAGGUUUCCCUGAAACAUUUCAGCCCCAAGUUUCUUUAAAUCUAGUCACCUGAUUAAUUAGCAUUUCAAUGCUUUAAGGGAAAAAACCAAACAAACUAAAAAUCCUAUUAUUUGAACAGUUGAACCUGGGAGUAGAGAGAGGAUCAGUGUUGCUUUUUUGAGGGAAAAGUACACUGUACUGAGAGUUAGGAACAUUGGGGUUCAAAUCCAGAUCUUCCCCAAUUUGCUAUGAAGCCUUAAAUAGCUCCCCUUAUUUCUGGAGUCUCUUUUGUCCAAUCUGGGGGAGGGGGUCAAGGAAGAGAGAUUCAGCAUUUCUAGUGGAAAUAAUAGAAAGGGAAAUAUCAUUCAUGAUGACUAUAUAAUGUGGAAAACAUCUAUCAGCUGAUCUAAUAAGACACAUUCAAGAAACAAAUCCACAAACUUAAAAAAAAAAGAAAUUAAGAAUGAAUUUAAAAGAUUGCAGGGAUAUUCAUUACUUUUGGUUGGGUCACACCAGUAUAAUAAAAACAGUACGAGUACCUAAAUUAAUUUAUACAUUCUGGGCUAUACUAAUCACACUUCAAAAGAGGUGUUAUACAAAACUCUACAAAAUGGUAACACAAUUCAUUUGAAGGAACAAAAUGAUCAUGAGUCUCAAGGGAAAUGAAAAAAGUAGAAAUAGAGAGAGAUAUCUAGACUUACAAUCACAUUAUUAUUCAGCAAUCAUCAAAAGGAUUUGCUACUGUUAAAAAAGUAAAAUAGAUCAGUGGGACCACUUUAUAAUUAGAAAACAAUCUCAAUAACUUAGGGUUAAAUAAAAUAGAGAACAUAAACUACAGUGGAAAGUUCUCCUCAUUUUACAAAAAUUACUGAGGAAACUGAAAAGUGGUUUAGCAAAAACAAAAACAACUCCUUGACACCCUUUAAGAUUUUGACUAGAAGUUCUUAACCUAGGUAUCAAGGGUUCCAUGCAUCUACUUCAGAUUGUCUGUGAACUUGGAUGAGAAAAAAUUCCCAUUCAUAUUUUUUUACCAAUGUUUGACUGAAAAUUAGCAUUUUCAUCCCUCAUAAGUAUAAAGAAAAUCAAAUACUAUUCUAAAAAGGGGCCUAUAGGCUUGCUCAUCCAGACUGCCAAAAUCACACACACACACACACACAAGAUUAAGAACUCCUAAUUUAGACUAUCGUCUUAUAUUACAUACUUCAGAUAGUUCUAAAUGUAUACUCAAGGAGGAAGAUGAAUGGAGGUAUCUUUCAGUUAUGUGUAAGGGGAGAAUCUUAGCAAACCAAAGGACAGAAGAGAUAACAAAAUUAUGAUAGUUAAUUUUCAUUACAUGAAAUCAAAAAGCUUUGCACUAACAAAAUUAAUGCAGUUUUAGAUAAAUUUUUGUAAACUCUGUUGGACAAGAUCCAUACCCUUUGAUCCAUAGAUCCUACUAAUAGGUAUAUACAUCAAGGAAAUAGAAGACAGAAAGGUCCCAUAUACAAGAAAAAUUCAUUGAAGUGUUUUGUUUUGGUCUUUUUGUGGAAGCAAAAAAAUAGGGAAUGGUAGGCACUCAUCAAUUGGGGAACAGCAAAACGUGGUAGGAAAUUAAUAUUAUGGAAUGUUAGGAAUGACAAAUAUUAAGAAUUCAGUAUAUCAUGGGAAGAUAUGCAAAAUCACCAAAGCCAAGAAAAACAAGAAAAUCAAUGACUAUAGCAAAAGAAAGAACAACCAAAUGAACCUUAUUGUUGUUUAAUUACAAUGACCAAACCUUUUCCUAAGAAGAGGUUAGAAACUAUACCUCUUACAUUUUACUGUAGAGAUGGGGUAUGAUAUGUUCAGGCAAUUAUUAGACAUAGAGUAAGACAGUUUUUGAGUUAUUUGGUUUUGGUGAACUUUUUCUUAUUUUUUUCUUUUUCAAUCUUUGGUACAAGGGAAGACUUACUGGACAAGAAAGAGGAGGAGGGACACAUUCAGAGAUAAAUUAACUAUCAAAACAAUAACAUCAAGAAAAGUUAAGAGAAAAGGAGAUCAGAGGAGUAGAUGAUCUCUUAAUAUUCUUAAUACUUAAUACAUAAGUUUAAAUAUCACUUCACUCACAUCAAACAGAGAAAUAUAUCCUCAAAAUGGAACUAGUCACUAUGGAUUUUUCUUUGAGGGGAAAAGAAAUACUUAUUAAUAGAUGGUUGAUGAAGUGUUGGAUUUUUCCAGCCAUUCUGAAAAACAAUUUGGAUUUAUAUAAUAGUAGUCACUAUGUAUACUAAGAUUAUACACCCAAGGAGAACAAAGACAAAAAGAACCUAUACAUACAGCAAAAUAUUCCUAAUCUCACUUGUGUGCUUGUCAAUUGGGAAAUGAAUAAACAAAUUGUGAUAUGACAACAUAAUGGGAAAUUAUUAUUUCAUAAGAAAUAUGGGAAAUUCACAAAAUCAUGGGUAGAUUUCUAUGAACUAUUGGUGUCCUUUUAUCACAAUGUUUUCUAUUGGUUCAUGAUUAAUAAAUUGCUUGUUGGAAUGGCUUGGAAAGUGAAUUAAGCAAAAUCAAGUGAAGAAUAUAAACAAUGACUACAAUAAUAUAAAUGAAAAGGACACUAAAAGGAAUCCAAACUCUGAAUAAUUAUAAUGAUCAAUCUUGGUCUCAGAAAACAGAUGAUAAUCUGAGUCAUUUGGUAGAGAAAUGGAUAACUAGUGUAUGUAUUGAACCAAACUUUUUUUUUUUAAUUUUUAAAAGGGAGUGACCAAUGAUGUGUUUGGUAGAGUAAGUACAGUUGGAGGAAUAAUGUGAUAUAAAAAUUUGACAAAGUAUUUAAAAGAAAAAAAUUAAGCAUUAAUUUGGGAGCAGAUAGAACAAUUAUCUAAACUGAACAUUCUGCAACUCAUUCCUAAGAAUUCUCUUUUAACUGGCCUGUCUUCAUAGUGUUUUUGAUUAAUAAUAUAUAUAGGGAGGCAAAUUGGAGAUUGGCUCUGGGUGAAGGUGAGAUGGAUAAGACAUAGUAAUGUCAGCAGAAAGAGUGAUCUAAGCCAAAGUUGGAGUUAAAGGAUUUUAACCUUAGGUAGGCAUUUGGAAGGGUUGAGAAAAAUAUGAAAAAUGAAACAGGCAGAACCAAAAGAACAUUGUGUACAGCAACAAAUGUUCAAAAGAUGACUUGUAUAUGCCUGCCUCCAGAAAAAGAACUGAUAAAUAAGUAAGGCAUAAUUUAAUAUAUACAUAUAUAUUUUUGCCACAUGAUGCCAUCUCAAAUGGGGGGGUAUAAGAGUAGAACUUAUUUUUAAUAAAAUAAAAAGCAAUGAAUUUAAAUUAAAAAAGAAAAA
Non-coding RNA from Monodelphis domestica (gray short-tailed opossum), 40889 nucleotides. NCBI's taxonomy places the organism in Eukaryota, Metazoa, Chordata, Mammalia, Didelphimorphia, Didelphidae. The record is from RefSeq and is a predicted model, not a curated record.